Molecule: ribosomal RNA, 253 nt
Filed under: uncultured bacterium
Lineage: Bacteria
Description: partial 16S ribosomal RNA
Rfam family: Bacterial small subunit ribosomal RNA
Source: RNAcentral
UACGUAGGGUGCAAGCGUUGUCCGGAAUUAUUGGGCGUAAAGAGCUCGUAGGCGGUUUGUUGCGUCGGCUGUGAAAUCCCGAGGCUCAGCCUCGGGUCUGCAGUCGAUACGAGCAAACUAGAGUGUUGCAGGGGAGACUGGAAUUCCUGGUGUAGCGGUGAAAUGCGCAGAUAUCAGGAGGAACACCGGUGGCGAAGGCGGGUCUCUGGGACGGUACUGACGCUGAGACGCGAAAGCGUGGGGAGCGAACAGG